CCUACGGGAGGCAGCAGUAAGGAAUAUUGGUCAAUGGAGGCAACUCUGAACCAGCCAUGCCGCGUGCAGGAUGACGGCCCUAUGGGUUGUAAACUGCUUUUAUACAAGAGAAAACCCUGGUACGUGUACCAGGUUGAUAGUAUUGUAAGAAUAAGCAUCGGCUAACUUCGUGCCAGCAGCCGCGGUAAGACGAAGGAUGCAAGCGUUAUCCGGAUUCAUUGGGUUUAAAGGGUGCGUAGGCGGACUGAUAAGUCAGUGGUGAAAUCUCUUUGCUUAACAAAGAAACUGCCAUUGAUACUGUCGGUCUAGAGUAUAGAUGACGUUGGCGGAAUAUGACAUGUAGUGGUGAAAUACUUAGAUAUGUCAUAGAACACCGAUUGCGAAGGCAGCUAACGAAACUAUAACUGACGCUGAGGCACGAAAGUGCGGGGAUCAAACAGGAUUAGAUACCCUGGUAGUCCGCACCGUAAACGAUGAUUACUCGUUGUUGGCGAUAUGACAGUCAGCGACCAAAGCGAAAAGCGAUAAGUAAAUCCACCUUGGGGAGUACGCCGGGCAACGGUUGAAAACUUCAAAAGGGAAUUGACGG
Molecule: ribosomal RNA, 589 nt
Filed under: uncultured bacterium
Lineage: Bacteria
Description: bacterial SSU rRNA
Rfam family: Bacterial small subunit ribosomal RNA
Source: RNAcentral